GGUAUUGAAAUAAGAUUUUAAAUGAGUGCUAAGAGAAUGAUUAAACAAUUAAAAACUUUCUUUAAUUAAAUAAUUAAAUUUAAUUUUUUUAGUGCAAAAGCAAAAAUAAAAUUUAGGGACAAGAAGACCCUAUGAAUUUUUAUUAUUAAUAUUUUGCAAUUAAAUUAUUAAUAAUUUAAUUGGGGUGAUAAAAAAAGAAUAAAUAUCUUUUUAAUUAUUAAAUAAGUUCCGUUUUUAGCGAUUAAAUGAAAAAAAUACUCUAGGGAUAACAGCGUAAUAAUUUUGGAUAGUUCAUAUAGAUAAAAUAGUUUGCGACCUCGAUGUUGGAUUAGGAUUCUUUUUUGGUGUAGAA
Molecule: ribosomal RNA, 352 nt
Filed under: Ixodes scapularis (black-legged tick)
Lineage: Eukaryota; Metazoa; Arthropoda; Arachnida; Ixodida; Ixodidae
Description: partial 16S ribosomal RNA
Source: RNAcentral